RNAcentral lists this ribosomal RNA (459 nucleotides) under Bacillus cereus. RNAcentral's name for it is "bacterial SSU rRNA". It matches the Rfam family "Bacterial small subunit ribosomal RNA", at positions 22 to 467 of the family's 1533-position model. Lineage: Bacteria; Bacillati; Bacillota; Bacilli; Caryophanales; Bacillaceae. The record is from RNAcentral.
GCUCAGGAUGAACGCUGGCGGCGUGCCUAAUACAUGCAAGUCGAGCGAAUGGAUUAAGAGCUUGCUCUUAUGAAGUUAGCGGCGGACGGGUGAGUAACACGUGGGUAACCUGCCCAUAAGACUGGGAUAACUCCGGGAAACCGGGGCUAAUACCGGAUAACAUUUUGAACCGCAUGGUUCGAAAUUGAAAGGCGGCUUCGGCUGUCACUUAUGGAUGGACCCGCGUCGCAUUAGCUAGUUGGUGAGGUAACGGCUCACCAAGGCAACGAUGCGUAGCCGACCUGAGAGGGUGAUCGGCCACACUGGGACUGAGACACGGCCCAGACUCCUACGGGAGGCAGCAGUAGGGAAUCUUCCGCAAUGGACGAAAGUCUGACGGAGCAACGCCGCGUGAGUGAUGAAGGCUUUCGGGUCGUAAAACUCUGUUGUUAGGGAAGAACAAGUGCUAGUUGAAUAAGC